RNAcentral lists this ribosomal RNA (253 nucleotides) under uncultured bacterium. Its description in RNAcentral is "partial 16S ribosomal RNA". It matches the Rfam family "Bacterial small subunit ribosomal RNA", at positions 524 to 776 of the family's 1533-position model. The record is from RNAcentral.
UACGGAGGGUGCGAGCGUUACCCGGAUUUACUGGGUGUAAAGGGCGUGUAGGCGGUCUUUCAAGUCCGAUGCUAAAGACCGAAGCUCAACUUCGGGGGUGCGUUGGAUACUGUGAGGCUAGACGGUCGGAGAGGGUAGCGGAAUUUCCGGAGUAGCGGUGAAAUGCGCAGAUACCGGAAGGAACGCCGAUAGCGAAAGCAGCUACCUGGACGAUUUGUGACGCUGAGGCGCGAAAGCGUGGGGAGCAAACCGG